RNAcentral lists this ribosomal RNA (1052 nucleotides) under uncultured Methanosarcina sp. Its description in RNAcentral is "bacterial SSU rRNA". It matches the Rfam family "Archaeal small subunit ribosomal RNA", at positions 1 to 1054 of the family's 1478-position model. The record is from RNAcentral. Lineage: Archaea; Methanobacteriati; Methanobacteriota; Methanomicrobia; Methanosarcinales; Methanosarcinaceae.
UCUGUUUGAUCCCGCCAGAGGUUACUGCUAUCGGUGUUCGACUAAGCCAUGCAAGUCAUAUGUUCCUCGUGAACAUGGCAUACUGCUCAGUAACACGUGGAUAACCUGCCCUUGGGUCUGGGAUAACCCCGGGAAACUGGGGAUAAUACCGGAUAACGCAUAUGUGCUGGAAUGCUUUAUGCGUAAAACGGAUUCGUCCGCCCAAGGAUGGGUCUGCGGCCUAUCAGGUAGUAGUGGGUGUAAUGUACCUACUAGCCAACAACGGGUACGGGUUGUGAGAGCAAGAGCCCGGAGAUGGAUUCUGAGACAUGAAUCCAGGCCCUACGGGGCGCAGCAGGCGCGAAAACUUUACAAUGCGGGAAACCGUGAUAAGGGAACACCGAGUGCCAGCAUCAUAUGCUGGCUGUCCAGAUGUGUAAAGUACAUCUGUUAGCAAGGGCCGGGCAAGACCGGUGCCAGCCGCCGCGGUAACACCGGCGGCCCGAGUGGUGACCGUUAUUAUUGGGUCUAAAGGGUCCGUAGCCGGUUUGGUCAGUCCUCCGGGAAAUCUGAUAGCUUAACUGUUAGGCUUUCGGGGGAUACUGCCAGGCUUGGAACCGGGAGAGGUAAGAGGUACUACAGGGGUAGGAGUGAAAUCUUGUAAUCCCUGUGAGACCACCUGUGGCGAAGGCGUCUUACCAGAACGGGUUCGACGGUGAGGGACGAAAGCUGGGGGCACGAACCGGAUUAGAUACCCGGGUAGUCCCAGCCGUAAACUAUGCUCGCUAGGUGUCAGGCAUGACGCGACCGUGUCUGGUGCCGCAGGGAAGCCGUGAAGCGAGCCACCUGGGAAGUACGGCCGCAAGGCUGAAACUUAAAGGAAUUGGCGGGGGAGCACAACAACGGGUGGAGCCUGCGGUUUAAUUGGACUCAACGCCGGACAACUCACCGGGGACGACAGCAAAAUGUAGGCCAGGCUGAAGACCUUGCCUGAAUCGCUGAGAGGAGGUGCAUGGCCGUCGCCAGUUCGUACUGUGAAGCAUCCUGUUAAGUCAGGCAACGAGCGAGACCCA